Molecule: ribosomal RNA, 216 nt
Filed under: Glomeromycotina sp.
Lineage: Eukaryota; Fungi; Glomeromycota
Description: partial small subunit ribosomal RNA
Rfam family: Eukaryotic small subunit ribosomal RNA (bases 87-216)
Source: RNAcentral
GGGUCAGUAGGUUGGUCGUGCCACCGGUACGUACUGGUCUCACUGAUUCCUCCUUCCUGAAGAACCGUAAUGCCAUGACUGUGGUGUUGCGGGGAAACAGGACUGUUACUUUGAAAAAAUUAGAGUGUUUAAAGCAAGCUAACGCUUGAAUACAUUAGCAUGGAAUAAUGAAAUAGGACGAUCGAUCCUAUUUUGUUGGUGUCUAGGAUUGACGUA